UCUGGCCGUUGACUCAGCAGCAGGUAGUGGUUUGUGUAGUGACAGAGUGAGUGCGGUCCAGGCGGUGCUGGGGUUGGGGCUCGGGUUCCCGUUCCCGGGUGUUGUGGCGGCCCAUCAGUGCUCCGGCUCUGCCGGUUGCGGUGAGUAGUGAUUUGGGCACGCACGAUCUCUCUUUGUCUAUGUCCUGAGGGACCGUCUCCGCCCUGACUCGGGUAAAAGUAGUGGUGGGAUUCUCGUGGAUGGCGCCUGGAGGAGUGGAAGUCUGUCCCGUCCGUGUGUCCCGUCCCCCCCUGCUCAGGGGGAAGCGGCUUACCCGCGCUCUGCCUUGUUUUAGGGGCUGUGCUGCCCUCCGAAUAAAUCCCCGAAAUGUGAGGCAGUAGCCUAACGACCGUCACUGGUACCCUUCGGUUGUGGGGUGUACCGUGUUCUGUCACCCCGCGGCCUGAGGUGGCUCCGAGACUGGGAUGCCCUCCUCUUGCCCUCUCCCUCUGCGUGGCCUCGGGUCUGAAACGUAGCCGGCCCUCUAUGCCCAAGGAGCCCAGCUGGUGUUUUGCUUGAGUUUCUGAUCUCUUGCGCUUAGGAGACUAUAGUACGUUUUCCUCGCUUUCUACAUUCUUAUGAGAGCUUCUAGCAAGGUACUUUGUCUUGUGGCUCCUUUCUCUCAACUUCUUCUGGAACAAGUAUGUAAUCUGUACAGCUGAACUGCAAAUAGCCUGUGCGCUACGUGAAUGAAAAUAGCUGGUUUAGUUUGGAAAUACAGUACAUUAUUGGAAAUCGUGAACAAAAAUAUUUUUUUCCUAUUCCCUGCUGCAUCUGUUGAAAGACAUGCUUUCUUAAGCUUUUUUGAUAAAAUGAGACUAAUUUUUUUUUUUCUUCUCUUCUAAUGUAUGAUUUGAGUUUAAGUAGGUAACUAUUUAAGGCCUGUUCCUCCUUCUGUUGAAAUCACUGGCAAAAAUCUCAUUGAAUUAAACACUACAAGACGAGAUAACUAGUGUCUAAUCUUGCAUUUGUUGGCAAGUAGUUCAGUUGAGGUACUUCAACGAACUUUUUAAUAAUGAUUGUAAAUUUAGUUUAAUAGCUUGAAACCCGUAAACCAAAUUUGUCAUCAGUGUAGGUUGAUGCUAGAUAUGAUGAUGUACUGUAAAGCAAAUAUGCCAAAGAAUGAAGUUAAUGUGGUGUGGUGGUGCAUUUCUUUCCCCCUCUCCAGGCUAAUUUACGAACUCAGGAAGGCUUGCUAGGCCUUAGCAUAAGUGUAAUGAGUCGGGCAGUUAAGCGACCCUUGACUGUGCCAGGAACUCUUACACAGCUAAGACAGGGAGAUAUGCUGUGCAUCUCAAGGACUCCUGCUGCCUGGCGGAGGCAGGGGAAUGGGAGUAGAGAUAGCCAGUUCUCAUAACAACCUGCAGCCAGUUCUUUCUCAUAACAACCUUGAGACAUUACAAUCCUCCCUUGACAAUCUUGGAGCAUCUCAUAUCUAUGUUUUGAGUUAUUCUCCAACAGUCUUGGAAUUUUCCAGUGCAGCUGGUAUUCUAGAAAUUUGUUGAUGAUGAAAGUCAAUCAUCUCCUGAACCUAUAAACAGCAGUACUAAGUGAGGCCCUUUGAGCUCUCCUGGACUGCAGCAGGCUGCGACCACAUCUCCCUCUGAGUGGGACGCCUCUCAUCAGAGCUCGCAAACAUUCCAGUUUGUGAAAAUUGGAGGUCUGUCGCCAAAAGCCGACAUGACCUGGGCUGAUUCUCUUCGCUCCUUGAGGCUUGACCCUUCGCCCGUUGAGACAAAUGCUGAAGCAUUCGACGUGAAUAUUUUCACUGACCUCGAGGGGAAUUUUUAACAGG
Long non-coding RNA from Harpia harpyja (harpy eagle), 1834 nucleotides. RefSeq lists it as uncharacterized. The transcript is spliced from 2 exons. Lineage: Eukaryota; Metazoa; Chordata; Aves; Accipitriformes; Accipitridae. The record is from RefSeq and is a predicted model, not a curated record.